This is a long non-coding RNA of Budorcas taxicolor (takin), 993 nucleotides long. RefSeq lists it as uncharacterized. The transcript is spliced from 3 exons. Lineage: Eukaryota; Metazoa; Chordata; Mammalia; Artiodactyla; Bovidae. The record is from RefSeq and is a predicted model, not a curated record.
CAGGCGCUGACCCACGCGCGCGUGCGGACGCCGGCACAGGCGCGGGGUUUCCAGCCUUCGGUUUGGCCCCAUAAGGACCUUUCGGGAGGGCGCCGAGUUCAGUCGCUCAGGCGUGUCCGACUCUUCGCGGCCCCAUGGACCGCAGCGCGCCAGGCCGCCCUGUCCAUCACCAACUCCCGGAGUUCACUCAAACUCAUGUCCAUCGGUGGUACCAUCCAACCAUCUCAUCCUCUGUGGCCCCCUUCUCCUGCCUUCAAUCUUUCCAGCAUCAGGGACUUUUCCAGUGAGUCAGUUCUUCGCAUCAAGGUGGCCAAACAAUUGGAGUUUCAGCUUCAACGUCAGUCCUUCCAAUGAAAAUUCAGGACUGAUUUCCUUUAGGAUUGACUGCUUGGAUCUCCUUGCAGUCCAAGGGACUCAAGAGUCUUCUCCGGCGCCAUGGGAUAAUCAACGAAGAGUGCUGGGUUGGAAUCACACGGACUCGGGAUCCAGCGGCAUACCUGUAACUUCCUAACUAAAGGAAACACACCAUGUUCCCCUUGGCUAGAAAACAGACCCUUUCUCCUAACUAAGGGGGAGGUUCGUGAUCUGACUCCGGAGGACCAGUGAGCACGCCUGGCCUGGAACAGCAUGUGACAUGCAGGUGCCCCUGAACGAGAAGAGGGCUCGGACGCGGCAAUCCACCCCGGACCUCCAAAGGAUGGAAGAUUCCAGCAGACCGUGAUUUGAUUCCUGUUCAUUAUCUUUUCUGGCAGGGUGAAAUAAAGUCGAAUGAGCCCACCUGUCCCAGGCAGAAGCUGUUAAGCCUGAGCCUUCUCCUGCUCUCUCUGUUCACCUGCACCGUGCCUUCUUGCUGUUUUCAAGCCCUGGGACCAGUGCUCCUCAGGCUUUUGGUAGACAUGGAUUAGAUGUGUGCUUGCACGGGCAUAAGAGUGUGUGCAUUUUUAAUCCAUUGAAGACUGGCACUUUGGCAAAACACAAUAAAAAUGAAUUUUU